Molecule: ribosomal RNA, 732 nt
Filed under: Triticum aestivum (bread wheat)
Lineage: Eukaryota; Viridiplantae; Streptophyta; Magnoliopsida; Poales; Poaceae
Description: partial small subunit ribosomal RNA
Source: RNAcentral
AUGGUGCUCCAAGCAGCAGCAACAUCCCUGGUGGCUUCUCUGCGGUCACCAUGGAGCGUGCUCUGCGGCCCCGGCGGCUCGGCCGGGCGCUCCCGGACGCAGGGUCUCGGCGGCACGGCGUACCGCUUCCCCGCCGGGGACUCAGCCGAGAACGCCCGGCAGAGCCAGGAGGCGCUGUCCAAGCCCAUGCCGCCGUCGUGCCACGACGUUGUUCCCCGCGUGAUGCCGCACCUCCACAAGACUGUCAAGGAACACGGUGAAGUGUGCAUCACCUGGGACGCCCUGGAGCCCAGGGUCGUCAUCGCAAAGCCAGAGCUGGUGACCCAGAUCCUAUCUAGCAACUCUGGCCACUUCGAGAAACUCAGGACCAAUCUUGGAGACCUGGUAUGCCGCGGGGUCGGGACCUACGACGGCGAGAAAUGGGCGAGGCAUAGGAGGAUUCUCAACCCUGCUUUCCAUCUUGAAAAGCUCAAGGCCAUGUUCCCUGCUUUCUCCACGUGCUGCACCGAGCUGGUGGACAGAUGGGAGAGUAAACUACUGGCUGCAGGUUGUGAGGGGUCGGUCGAACUCGACGUCUCCCAGGAGUUCCCGGUCCUCACCGGAGACGUGAUCACCCGCACAUCGUUCGGUAGCAGCUUCACCGAAGGAAGAAGAAUCUUUGAGCUUCAAGUAGACCAGGCAAAGAGACUUAUGAAGCUCCUCCAGUAUUUGUACAUCCCGGGCUUCUUGUAA